CCCACCACUCCGCUCCACCCCUGAGCUGCGUUCUCGUUCCUAUCAUGGUAAGCAUAAAGCAAUUGCGAACAAUGAGCAUUUGCAGAGGAAUCUGGACAGGUGAUGAUGAUUUCUAGUGUAUAAGCUCAUUAUUUCAUUAUUUUUGCUGUAUAGAUGUUAUAUGCAUAGAGAACAGUGUAUCCAUACCAUUUGUGAUUCUGUGCUGAUCGUGCUGUGGCAUACCUCAGAC
This 229-nucleotide long non-coding RNA is filed under the name Musa acuminata (dwarf banana). RNAcentral describes it as "long non-coding RNA (MACU_LNC001331)". Lineage: Eukaryota; Viridiplantae; Streptophyta; Magnoliopsida; Zingiberales; Musaceae. The record is from RNAcentral.